GCAAUAAACCCAAACUUGCAUAGAUAUAGUCAACUAUGAAGAGCUUGAACAGUGUUUUCAGGACUGACAUUUACAGACGAGUGGGAAAUCAAAGACUGGAAUGCUGGGAGAACGCUGGGGAAACUGACGAAGGGGUGAGCUCUGGAAAGGAGGAAGGAUACUUCCUGUUCCUGCUGGAGUGACCCACAGGUCUGAGGAUGAGUGAGGGAGGGGAAGGCGGAGAAAGAAGGUGGCCAGAUGAGUGGCAGGGAUCCAGAGGGUUCCACCG
Long non-coding RNA from Sinocyclocheilus grahami, 268 nucleotides. RefSeq lists it as uncharacterized. The transcript is spliced from 3 exons. The record is from RefSeq and is a predicted model, not a curated record. Lineage: Eukaryota; Metazoa; Chordata; Actinopteri; Cypriniformes; Cyprinidae.